RNAcentral lists this ribosomal RNA (469 nucleotides) under uncultured bacterium. Its description in RNAcentral is "partial 16S ribosomal RNA". It matches the Rfam family "Bacterial small subunit ribosomal RNA", at positions 28 to 507 of the family's 1533-position model. The record is from RNAcentral.
GACGAACGCUGGCGGCGUGCUUAACACAUGCAAGUCGAACGGAAAGGCCCUGCUUGCAGGGUGCUCGAGUGGCGAACGGGUGAGUAACACGUGGGUGAUCUGCCCCUUACUUUGGGAUAAGCCUGGGAAACUGGGUCUAAUACUGGAUAGGACCAUGCUAUAGGUGGUGUGGUGGAAAGAUUAGUUUCGGUAAGGGAUGAGCUCGCGGCCUAUCAGCUUGUUGGUGGGGUAAUGGCCUACCAAGGCGUCGACGGGUAGCCGGCCUGAGAGGGUGGACGGCCACAUUGGGACUGAGAUACGGCCCAGACUCCUACGGGAGGCAGCAGUGGGGAAUAUUGCACAAUGGGCGCAAGCCUGAUGCAGCGACGCCGCGUGGGGGAUGACGGCCUUCGGGUUGUAAACUCCUUUCAGCCAUGACGAAGCCCUUGUGGUGACGGUAGUGGUAGAAGAAGCACCGGCUAACUACGUG